This 974-nucleotide ribosomal RNA is filed under the name uncultured bacterium. Its description in RNAcentral is "bacterial SSU rRNA". It matches the Rfam family "Bacterial small subunit ribosomal RNA", at positions 151 to 1135 of the family's 1533-position model. The record is from RNAcentral.
GGGAAACUGGGUCUAAUACCGGAUAUGACUCUUCAUCGCAUGGUGGGGGGUGGAAAGCUUUAUUGUGGUUUUGGAUGGACUCGCGGCCUAUCAGCUUGUUGGUGAGGUAAUGGCUCACCAAGGCGACGACGGGUAGCCGGCCUGAGAGGGUGACCGCCUACACUGGGACUGAGACACGGCCCAGACUCCUACGGGAGGCAGCAGUGGGGAAUAUUGCACAAUGGGCGCAAGCCUGAUGCAGYGACGCCGCGUGAGGGAUGACGGCCUUCGGGUUGUAAACCUCUUUCAGUAGGGAAGAAGCGAAAGUGACGGUACCUGCAGAAGAAGCGCCGGCUAACUACGUGCCAGCAGCCGCGGUAAUACGUAGGGCGCAAGCGUUAUCCGGAAUUAUUGGGCGUAAAGAGCUCGUAGGCGGUUUGUCGCGUCUGCCGUGAAAGUCCGGGGCUCAACUCCGGAUCUGCGGUGGGUACGGGCAGACUAGAGUGAUGUAGGGGAGACUGGAAUUCCUGGUGUAGCGGUGAAAUGCGCAGAUAUCAGGAGGAACACCGAUGGCGAAGGCAGGUCUCUGGGCAUUAACUGACGCUGAGGAGCGAAAGCAUGGGGAGCGAACAGGAUUAGAUACCCUGGUAGUCCAUGCCGUAAACGUUGGGCACUAGGUGUGGGGGACAUUCCACGUUUUCCGCGCCGUAGCUAACGCAUUAAGUGCCCCGCCUGGGGAGUACGGCCGCAAGGCUAAAACUCAAAGGAAUUGACGGGGGCCCGCACAAGCGGCGGAGCAUGCGGAUUAAUUCGAUGCAACGCGAAGAACCUUACCAAGGCUUGACAUGGGCCGGAUCGCCGCAGAAAUGUGGUUUCCCCUUUGGGGCCGGUUCACAGGUGGUGCAUGGUUGUCGUCAGCUCGUGUCGUGAGAUGUUGGGUUAAGUCCCGCAACGAGCGCAACCCUCGUUCUAUGUUGCCAGCGCGUAAUGGCGGG